CAGAUUGAUUUCAUCCUCUCGAGAAGAGAAGAUAGGCGUGCGUGCCUAGACUGUAAGGUGAUACCUGGAGAGAGUGUUGUACCUCAGCAUAAGCUGGUGGUUGCUGACUUCCGCUUUCGGAUUCGUGUCCAGCGGGAUAAGCGUGCCAAAGUCUGUCGAACGAAGUGGUGGAAGCUCAAGGGGGAGGUAGCUCUGGCGUUUAAGGAUAGGGUCAUUAAGGAGGGCCCUUGGGAGGAAGGAGGGGAUGCGGACAGUGUGUGGAUGAAGAUGGCGACUUGCAUUCAUAAGGUGGCCUCGGAGGAGUUUGGAGUGUCCGGGGAAAGGAGAAGUGAAGAUAAAGAUACCUGA
This 348-nucleotide ribosomal RNA is filed under the name Triticum aestivum (bread wheat). RNAcentral describes it as "partial small subunit ribosomal RNA". Lineage: Eukaryota; Viridiplantae; Streptophyta; Magnoliopsida; Poales; Poaceae. The record is from RNAcentral.